Molecule: long non-coding RNA, 1975 nt
Organism: Orcinus orca (killer whale)
Lineage: Eukaryota; Metazoa; Chordata; Mammalia; Artiodactyla; Delphinidae
Exons: 2
Source: RefSeq, a predicted model, not a curated record
UCCUAUAAAUAUCAGUUAAAUCUAUCUGGUCUAUUGUGUCACUUAAAGCUUGUUUCCUUAUUUAUUUUCAUUUUGGAUGAUCUGUCCAUUGGUGUAAGUGAGGUGUUAAAGUCCCCCAGUAUUAUUGUGUUACUGUUGAUUUCCUUUUUUAUAGCUGUUAGCAGUUGCCUUAUGUAUUAAGGUGCUCCUAUGUUGGGUGUCUGUAUAUUUACAAUUGUUACAUCCUUUUCCUGGAUUGAUCCCUUGAUCAUUACGUAGUGUCCUUCCUGAUCUUUUGUAAGUCUUUAAAGUUUGUUUUGUCUGAUAUGAGUAUUGCUACUCCUGCUUUCUUUUGAAUUCCAUUUGCAUGGAAUACCUUUUUCCAUCCCCUCACUUUGUCUGUAUGUGUCCCUAGAUAAGAAGUAGGUCUCUUGUAGAUGGCAUAUAUAUGGGUCUUGUUUUUGUAUCCAUUUAGCCAGUCUGUGUCUGUUGGUUGGAGCAUUUAAUCCAUUUACAUUUAAGGUAAUUAUCAAUAAGUGUUCUUACUGCUGUUUUGUUAAUUGGGGUUUGUUUUUGAAGGUCUUUUUUCUUCCUUUCCUCUUGUUCUCUUGUGAUUUGAUGUCUAUCUUUAGUGUUGUUUGGAUUGCUUUUUCUUUUUUGUGUGUGUAUCUAUGGUAGAGUUUUGGUUUGUGGUUCCCAUGAGGUUUUGAUAGAGCAGUCUGUAUAACUACAAGAUUGUUUUAAGUUGCUGGUCUCAAUUUCCAGUGUAUUUCCAGUAUCCUGCAUUUGUACUCUUCUCAUGGUUGCUGAUUUUGAUAUCAUAUUUAUGUGUGGAUGGUUUCCUACCUUUAUGUUUGCCUUUACCAGUGAGCUUUCCCAUUUGUAAUUUUCUUGAUUCUAGUUGUGGCCUUUUCCACAGAGAAGUUCCUUUAGGUUUUGUUGUGGUUUUCACAGUUUGAGUAGCUGCAACAGAGGCCAAUAUGGUCCACACAGCCUUGAAUAUUUACUGUCUGUCUCCUUUUUUGUUUUCUGAUUUUUAUUGGAGUAUAGUUGCUUUAUAGUGUUUUGUUAGUUUCAGGUGUACAGCAAAGUGAAUCAGUUAUACAUAUAUUUCCUCUUUUUUCGAUUUCCUUCCCAUUUAGGUUACCACAAAGCAUUGAGUUCCCUGUGCUUUACUUUAGGUUCUUGUUAGUUAUCUAUUUUAUACAUAGUAUCAAUAGUGUAUAUGUCAAUCCCAAUUUCCCAAUUCAUCACCCACUCCCCCCACCCUCCAGUCUGGCUCUUUAGAGAAAAUGUUUGUUAUUUUGUUAGCCCCUGAGUUAAUGUCAGUAACAGCAGUAAAAAUCAACUAUAGAUACAUGCAGCAACAGGGCUACAUAUCAGAAACAAAGUUGAAUGGAAAAAGACUCCAUAAUUUUCAUUUGUAUUUAAAACAUUGACCUAUUAAAGACUUCUCCAUGUUUAUAAAAAAGUAAAAGGAGUUUGAAGAAUUCUGAAUGGCAGAAAAUUUUCACUGUAUAUAAGGGAAAGUAUUAGGAUGCAAAUCAAUGUAUGUGGUGUGCUUCCUGUUACACUUAAAAGUUUUUGGUGAAAGUCCCAUAAUCCAGGUGAGGCCAUGUUUCAGAGUAACCUGCCAGGGCUUCUUGGUCCAUGAGCUUGAGCCAGGGGCUCCUCCAGUAGCCAGAGAAGAGAUGGUUAUGAUGUCAGUGGCUGGAUGGCAGAAGGACUUGACGACUGCCAUGUUAAGGGUUAUGUUUGAAGAGACAGAAUAAAGGCUGUUCUUCAGAGGAGAGUUUGAAGAAUUUACACUGAACAGAUUUUCCAGGAAGUUUAAAAAAAAAUGAUUGAUGGUGUCCCCUUAUAGAACUGCAUCAGCAAGCUUAUACUAAGGAGGAGGACAGGAAUUGAGUACAAGUCAGCAAGGACACCAGGGUUGAAGAGUUAAGUAAUGAGCAGUACUCAGGCAUUCACUUUUAAGUCAGCUUUUUUUUUUUUU